Molecule: ribosomal RNA, 253 nt
Filed under: uncultured bacterium
Lineage: Bacteria
Description: partial 16S ribosomal RNA
Rfam family: Bacterial small subunit ribosomal RNA
Source: RNAcentral
UACGGGGGGGGCAAGCGUUGUUCGGAAUUACUGGGCGUAAAGGGCGCGUAGGCGGGCUACCAAGUCUGUGGUGAAAUCCUCCGGCUCAACCGGAGAACUGCCGUGGAUACUGGGAGCCUCGAGGGAGAUAGGGGCGUGCGGAACUGAUGGUGGAGCGGUGAAAUGCGUUGAUAUCAUCAGGAACUCCGGUGGCGAAGGCGGCACGUUGGAUCUCAUCUGACGCUGAUGCGCGAAAGCCAGGGGAGCAAACGGG